AUGCUCUUCUUGACACAGUCACCAGGAAAACCUUUGUUGGCUGUGCCAGCGGGUGACCCUUGGACAUUCGUGGGCCUGAUCCUUUUCACCUGUUCUAGAGUCUUCAGUGACUUGUCUCCUCAAGGCUUCAGAACAUUCAGGAAUGUUCCCUUCUCUGAGCUGGGAGAGCAGAGAAGCCGAAGCAUCAAGAGAUUGGCCCCAGGUCAAACCACUGCUAGCUCCUUCAGGUGGGCAUGGGGCCUCUGCUUUCAAGGCUCAUGGGGUUUGCCUACUACCCCAAAAUAUAAAUGUGGGUUGAAUAACAGAGUGAUUAAUUUCACUUUCAGUGCCUUCCUUCUCGAGCUGGAGUGCUUCUGUAGAGACUCCUAAUUCGGUGAAACCUGUUUAGGGGAUCAUCCCUGCUAGACAGACAGCUGCGAGAGGGCAUUCGCUUCCCAGCAUGGAUUUCAGAUUAUGGCCAAUCAAGAGCCGGAGCUAAGGAACACCUGUCAACGGCGCUUGCUACAAGGAGACCAGCUCUUUAAUCGAAUUUCAUUGUACUUCAGAAAAAGGUUUAUUUUAAAUGUGGCGUCUGCUUUUAUGAUUCAUCCUUCUCAGCUGAGACAUCAAUUUGGGGCUUAUUUAUGAUGUUGUUCUAGGGUGAAACAAGACACUGCAAGAAAGUAUUUCAAAAAGGCAGCCUUUCCCAGACAUUCAGUUUGCAGCUUUCCUCGUGUGGAAAAAUAAAAAAGAAAUUUAAAACGUUAGUUUUGAGCUU
RNAcentral lists this long non-coding RNA (757 nucleotides) under Meriones unguiculatus (Mongolian gerbil). RNAcentral's name for it is "lncRNA (ENSMUGG00000008697.1)". Lineage: Eukaryota; Metazoa; Chordata; Mammalia; Rodentia; Muridae. The record is from RNAcentral.